GGUAUCAACACCCGGUCGGUCGUCCUCUGGGGACACCCAUGCAUCCGCCUUCUGGCCUUUCCAUUCUCUCCAUCCAUUUCUCUUAACAGAAUGCCCGUGUGAUGACACGGGCUCCCAUUACCAGCUCUGGUCUGUUCUCAGUGAGAAUACAGCUUACCCUCGGCACUCCUGAUUGGCAGUGGAAAUUUUGCUUCAGUACUUUAUUGAAAGAAAGCAAUAAAUAAUACUGUGAUAAAAAUAGUUCAAAAGUAGACUGUACAUACUUUGUUACAUAUUCAGGAAGUUCACAAAAGAUUAAUAGAAAACAGAACAGUAACAACGAAUUAUACAAGUGAUUAAAGCGGACCCACAUGGAAAGAGACCUGCCGUCUCUCUACGAGAUCUCAGCUGCACAAUAAGUAACGCACCAUGAUCUGAACGCCUCUUGCUGGCUUUUUAAUGUGCCGCUGAAAAGUAAAAGUUACAUUUGCUACUUAUACAAUCCAAAAUGGCUAUGUCAUCAAAAUCUAAAAUGUACGCCUAGGUCCAUUCUUUAAACAUGUUUACAAACAGAUGUAAAAGAUGAUUUACAUAAAAUAAGGCCUUUGUCAGAGCUGCACCACGCUGUCUGUCGGGGUGUGGCGCCUCCUGUCCAGCACACCAGGUCUGCAGUGGGUGCAGGGCAUCACGAUUGGUCCUUGAAGAGUAGGCGCUUGACCCUGCCUCCCAGGAGGAGGGCAGGAGGGCGGGCACAGCGGGCUGUGCGCCCAGGCCCCCACCCCACCCCCGCCAGUCUCUCUUCCCCAGCUCGUGGCUUCUGCCAGUCACCGGAGAGGAGGGAUCGGGUCCACGGAGACUGGGUUACCCAAGAGGUUUUCACAGUCCUCUUCUAGUCAUCCUUUCAGCCCAAAUUUGAUUAGAAGCUCACAUUUAACACCCAGUACUUUUAAAUCUCUUCACGCUGCAGAGAAAAAGCAUUUCUUGCUAGAAAAAGUACAGUUUAGGUCAGUCGUUAAAAUACAACAACAAUUGGUUGAAAUUAAGUUCGCCAUUUCAGAGUGAUUGUUGGAGAGCUUGGUUACAUUCUGGAAGGAUAAUGCACACCGUGUCAUGAUUUUACAAUCGCAGUAAAACCCUUCUCUCAUGGUUUAUCAUUUAAAAAUUAAACAAGAAUAAUUACAAUAAAUGCAUCAUUUACAAAAGCCCUAUAUUUGUUCAUAGGAUUUAUACAUACAAGCAUUACAGUACAUUCAUUUGAAAGACUAAAAUCAGGUAUCAGGACAUGAAUUGAUCUGAAAGGAUAUUUAUAGCCUGGAUAUACAAGAAAAAGUAAGUAACUAUAUAAAUGAAGUCAUAAGUUUACAUAAAUAUAAGAAACAUUAAAUUCUAAAAUAUUUUCUAUGGUAUUCAUGAAUUUUUCACUAAUUAAAAACUCUGUAAUAAAAUAUCUUCGGUCCAUAUAACAAGUAUGAACAGAGU
RNAcentral lists this long non-coding RNA (1458 nucleotides) under Bos grunniens (domestic yak). Its description in RNAcentral is "lncRNA (ENSBGRG00000022175.1)". Lineage: Eukaryota; Metazoa; Chordata; Mammalia; Artiodactyla; Bovidae. The record is from RNAcentral.